UACCUGCAGCUCGAGUGGUAACCGCUAUUAUUGGGCCUAAAGCGUCCGUAGCCGGUUUGGUAAAUAUCUGGGUAAAUCGUGAGGCUUAACUUCACGAAUUUCGGAUAGACUGCCAGACUUGGGAUCGGGGGAGGUCAGAGGUUACUCCAGGGGUUAGCGGUGAAAUGUUGUAAUCCUUGGAGGACCACCGGUAGCGAAGGCGUCUGACUAGAACGAGUCCGACGGUCGAGGGACCGAAGGCCCCUGGGGGCGCAAACCGGAUUAGAUGCCCGGGUAGUCCAGGGUGUAGACAAUGUGGGCUUUGUAUUGGAGAUCCCACGAGGGUGUCCAGUGCAGAAGAGAAGUUGUUAAGCCCACCGCCUGGGAAGUACGGUCGCAAGGCUGAAACUUAAAGGAAUUGGCGGGGGAGCGACAGCAACGGGAGGAGCGUGCGGUUU
Molecule: ribosomal RNA, 437 nt
Filed under: uncultured archaeon
Lineage: Archaea
Description: bacterial SSU rRNA
Rfam family: Archaeal small subunit ribosomal RNA
Source: RNAcentral